RNAcentral lists this ribosomal RNA (426 nucleotides) under uncultured bacterium. Its description in RNAcentral is "bacterial SSU rRNA". It matches the Rfam family "Bacterial small subunit ribosomal RNA", at positions 354 to 796 of the family's 1533-position model. The record is from RNAcentral.
GUGAGGAAUUUUCCGCAAUGGGCGAAAGUCUGACGGAGCAAUGCCGCGUGAAGGAUGAAGGCCUAUGGGUUGUAAACUUCUUUUCUCAGAAAAGAAUUAUGACGGUAUCUGAGGAAUAAGCAUCGGCUAACUCUGUGCCAGCAGCCGCGGUAAGACAGAGGAUGCAAGCGUUAUCCGGAAUGAUUGGGCGUAAAGCGUCUGUAGGUUGUUUAAAAAGUAUUCUGUCAAAGAUUAGGGCUUAACCCUAGAUAGGCAGAAUAAACUUUUAAGCUAGAGUUUGGUAGAGGCAGAGGGAAUUCCCGGUGAAGCGGUGAAAUGCGUAGAUAUCGGGAGGAACACCAAAGGCGAAGGCACUCUGCUGGGCCAAUACUAACACUGAGAGACGAAAGCGAGGGGAGCAAAUGGGAUUAGAUACCCUAGUAGUCC